UACAGAGGGUGCAAGCGUUAAUCGGAAUUACUGGGCGUAAAGCGUGCGUAGUCGGUUAUUUAAGUCGGGUGUGAAAGCCCCGGGCUCAACCUGGGAAUUGCAUUCGAUACUGGAUAGCUAGAGUUCGGCAGAGGGAAGCGGAAUUUCCGGUGUAGCGGUGAAAUGCGUAGAUAUCGGAAGGAACAUCAGUGGCGAAAGCGGCUUCCUGGACCAGAACUGACGAUCAGGCACGAAAGCGUGGGGAUCAAACAGG
RNAcentral lists this ribosomal RNA (253 nucleotides) under uncultured bacterium. RNAcentral describes it as "partial 16S ribosomal RNA". It matches the Rfam family "Bacterial small subunit ribosomal RNA", at positions 524 to 776 of the family's 1533-position model. The record is from RNAcentral.